RNAcentral lists this long non-coding RNA (441 nucleotides) under Androctonus crassicauda. Lineage: Eukaryota; Metazoa; Arthropoda; Arachnida; Scorpiones; Buthidae. The record is from RNAcentral.
UACAUAAAAAUUUAUUAAAUCAACAAAUUAUUAUAGAAAGAUGAUGAUUUGUUAUUGGAUUAGAAAGAGUAUAUUUAAAUCAGAAAAUAAUAUUUUAUUUACAGGUAAUUCUUGAUUUAUGAGUUCUCUGAUUUAUUAAUUUUUUUUUCAAAUAUCAGGUAUCAACAAAAUUAAAAACAGGAAUAUUUAUUGCUAUAAAUAAAUGCUAAAUUCUCAUACAUAUACCAUUUCAAAUCAGGUGAAUAGAUAUAUAAUACAGCAGACAUUCUGUCAUGUCCCAAGAUAUCAGAAAAUGAAUAUAGUGACUUUGGGAAUUGUACCAAUACUCCUCCUGGACAUCAUGAUUUUAUCAGAUAAUUAUGUUUGUAACUUCAUUCCCAGAUUGUGUUUAAGGCAGAAGUACAUAUCAUAAAAGCUAAUCUACACAUGUUUUGAUGAUGA